GACGAACCGUACGAACGUUAUUCGGAAUUACUGGGCUUAAAGGGUGCGUAGGCGGCGCGGAGAGUAGGGUGUGAAAUCCCUCGGCUCAACCGAGGAACUGCGCUCUAAACUACCGUGCUCGAGGGAGAUAGAGGUGAGCGGAACUGAGGGUGGAGCGGUGAAAUGCGUUGAUAUCCUCAGGAACACCGGUGGCGAAAGCGGCUCACUGGAUCUCUUCUGACGCUGAGGCACGAAAGCUAGGGUAGCGAACGGG
This 253-nucleotide ribosomal RNA is filed under the name uncultured bacterium. Its description in RNAcentral is "partial 16S ribosomal RNA". It matches the Rfam family "Bacterial small subunit ribosomal RNA", at positions 524 to 776 of the family's 1533-position model. The record is from RNAcentral.